UUGCAGAAUCCCGUGAACCAUCGAGUCUUUGAACGCAAGUUGCGCCCAAAGCCGUUAGGCUGAGGGCACGUCUGCCUGGGUGUCACGCAUCGUUGCCCACCCC
This 103-nucleotide ribosomal RNA is filed under the name Correa aemula. RNAcentral describes it as "partial 5.8S ribosomal RNA". The stretch from base 1 to 85 matches the Rfam family "5.8S ribosomal RNA", at positions 72 to 154 of the family's 154-position model. Rfam says of the family: 5.8S ribosomal RNA (5.8S rRNA) is a component of the large subunit of the eukaryotic ribosome. It is transcribed by RNA polymerase I as part of the 45S precursor that also contains 18S and 28S rRNA. Functionally, it is thought that 5.8S rRNA may be involved in ribosome translocation. Lineage: Eukaryota; Viridiplantae; Streptophyta; Magnoliopsida; Sapindales; Rutaceae. The record is from RNAcentral. RNAcentral also lists the same sequence under 4 other names.